GUAGGAGUGGCGGAACUAGCAGCCGCGCACGUUUGAUGGGCGUGUGGGUAACCGUACGGGUUCAAGUUCCGUCUCCGACACCA
RNAcentral lists this transfer RNA (83 nucleotides) under Pelotomaculum sp. PtaB.Bin104. RNAcentral describes it as "tRNA-Ile". Lineage: Bacteria; Bacillati; Bacillota; Clostridia; Eubacteriales; Desulfotomaculaceae. The record is from RNAcentral.